CGCCUUUUUAACAAAAACAUGUCCUUUUGAAUAUAUUUAAGGUCUAACCUGCCCAAUGAGGAUUUAAAUGGCCGCAGUAUUUUGACUGUGCAAAGGUAGCAUAAUUAUUAGUUUUUUAAUUGAAAGCUUGUAUGAAGGGUUGGACGAGAUAAAAUCUGUCUCUAUUUAGAUUAAAGUAGAAUUUAACUUUUAAGUCAAAAGGCUUAAAUAUUUAUAAAAGACGAGAAGACCCUAUAGAUCUUUAUUUAAAUUAAAUUUUAAUAAUUUAGGAUUAUUUUAAUUUAAAUUUUAGUUUAAAUUUUAUUGGGGUAAUAUAAAGAUUAAAUAAAUUCUUUUUAUUUAUAACAUUAAUUUAUGAAUUUAUGAUCCACUAUUAGUGAUUAAAAGAUUAAGUUACCUUAGGGAUAACAGCGUAAUUUUUUUGGAGAGCUCAUAUCGAUAAAAAAGUUUGCGA
This 454-nucleotide ribosomal RNA is filed under the name Cylindera minuta. RNAcentral describes it as "partial 16S ribosomal RNA". It matches the Rfam family "Bacterial large subunit ribosomal RNA", at positions 1797 to 2523 of the family's 2925-position model. The record is from RNAcentral. Lineage: Eukaryota; Metazoa; Arthropoda; Insecta; Coleoptera; Carabidae.